GAGUUUGAUCAUGGCUCAGGACGAACGCUGGCGGCGUGCCUAACACAUGCAAGUCGAGCGAUGAAACCCUUCGGGGUGGAUUAGCGGCGGACGGGUGAGUAACACGUGGGUAACCUGCCUCAAAGAGGGGAAUAGCCUCCCGAAAGGGAGAUUAAUACCGCAUAAUAUGUUUUGAUCGCAUGAUCGAAACAUCAAAGGAUGUUCUUUUAGAACUUCCACUUUGAGAUGGACCCGCGGCGCAUUAGCUAGUUGGUGAGGUAACGGCCCACCAAGGCAACGAUGCGUAGCCGACCUGAGAGGGUGAUCGGCCACAUUGGAACUGAGACACGGUCCAGACUCCUACGGGAGGCAGCAGUGGGGAAUAUUGCGCAAUGGGGGAAACCCUGACGCAGCAACGCCGCGUGAAUGAUGAAGGCCUUCGGGUUGUAAAGUUCUGUCUUCUGGGACGAUAAUGACGGUACCAGAGGAGGAAGCCACGGCUAACUACGUGCCAGCAGCCGCGGUAAUACGUAGGUGGCAAGCGUUGUCCGGAUUUACUGGGCGUAAAGGAUGCGUAGGCGGACAUUUAAGUCAGAUGUGAAAUACCCGAGCUUAACUUGGGUGCUGCAUUUGAAACUGGGUGUCUAGAGUGCAGGAGAGGUAAGUGGAAUUCCUAGUGUAGCGGUGAAAUGCGUAGAGAU
Molecule: ribosomal RNA, 680 nt
Filed under: uncultured Clostridium sp.
Lineage: Bacteria; Bacillati; Bacillota; Clostridia; Eubacteriales; Clostridiaceae
Description: bacterial SSU rRNA
Rfam family: Bacterial small subunit ribosomal RNA
Source: RNAcentral